CUACGGGCGGCAGCAGCCGCGAAACCUUUACAAUGCACGAAAGCGUGAUAAGGGAAUCCGAAGUGCCUACCUUUUGGGUAGGCUUUUGCUAAGUGUAAGAAGCUUUGUGAAUAAGUGGUGGGCAAUACUGGUGCCAGCAGCCGCGGUAACCCCAGAGCCACAAGUGGCAAUCUUGAUUAUUGGGCCUAAAGGAUCCGUAGCCGAUUUGAUAACUCUUUUUUGAAAUUGUUGAACUUAAUUCAACAUCGAGCAAGAGAAACUAUUAAGUUAGAGACCGGGAAGAGACAGAAGUAUUCUAUGGGAAGCGGUAAAAUGCUUUAAUCCUUAGAAGACUACCUAUGGCGAAGGCAUCUGUCUAGAACGGGUCUGACGGUGAGGGAUGAAGGCUAGGAGAACGAUCCGGAUUAGAUACCCCCGUAGUC
This 422-nucleotide ribosomal RNA is filed under the name uncultured archaeon. Its description in RNAcentral is "partial 16S ribosomal RNA". It matches the Rfam family "Archaeal small subunit ribosomal RNA", at positions 323 to 746 of the family's 1478-position model. The record is from RNAcentral.